Molecule: long non-coding RNA, 551 nt
Filed under: Erythranthe guttata (spotted monkey flower)
Lineage: Eukaryota; Viridiplantae; Streptophyta; Magnoliopsida; Lamiales; Phrymaceae
Description: long non-coding RNA (EGUT_LNC000709)
Source: RNAcentral
CCCCUUCUCACGUUCUUCCCCUCACACUCGUUGGCCACCGUCCAGGGGGAGAGGUUCAAUUUAUAUACACUGCACAUUGCCCUUUCAUCCAACGUCCGCCGCUGCCUCUCUUAAUUAGGCUUAUACUCCACCGAUUGCCGACCGGGAAGAGCGAUGCGAAGCGCUCGCCGCUUUAGGCGGCGACGAGCAUCGAGGUCACCGCUUCUGCCGCCUACGUAGGCGGACAACCUCGCCUCCAUUGGUGGUUUCUUAUUUGGCUUCCGCAGUGGUGGAUGCUCCUCCUCCGUCGGUGGCUCCUUAGCACCGCACUCCGUCAAGCGCGUGGGCCCCUUCUGCUUUUUUUUUUUUUUCUUGCCAAAACAGAGUCUUACGACCAGAUAAACCUCCACCGCACACGAAGAUAGGAGACAGCCAUCAAACAACGAAUUAUUCGAUUCGAUUUCUCUAUGUAAGGUCUCUCUAUGUCUCUCGUUUUUGCUGGUGCACCCCAAAUUGAUUUUAUAUAUGCAGAAUUUUUUUGCUUAAACUGUGAUCACCUCUAUCAAUCUAUG